RNAcentral lists this ribosomal RNA (1241 nucleotides) under metagenome. RNAcentral's name for it is "bacterial LSU rRNA". It matches the Rfam family "Bacterial large subunit ribosomal RNA", at positions 1564 to 2815 of the family's 2925-position model. The record is from RNAcentral.
UGAAUACGAGGCACUAAGGUGCUGAAGUAGUGUAUGUCAUACUUCCAAGAAAAGCUUGCACUAUCGUAAGAUAAAAAUGCCUGUACCAUAACCGACACAGGUGGGUAGGUAGAGUAUACUAAGGGGCGCGAGAUAACUCUCUCUAAGGAACUCGGCAAAAUAACUCCGUAACUUCGGGAGAAGGAGUGCCUUAUUCUAUAAGGUUGCAAUAACAAGAUCCAAGCAACUGUUUAUCAAAAACACAGGUCUCCGCUAAGUCGUAAGACGAUGUAUGGGGGCUGACGCCUGCCCAGUGCCAGAAGGUUAAAGAAGUCGGUUAGCAAUUGCGAAGCUGGUAACUGAAGCCCUGGUGAACGGCGGCCGUAACUAUAACGGUCCUAAGGUAGCGAAAUUCCUUGUCGGGUAAGUUCCGACCCGCACGGAAGGCGUAAUGAUUUGGAUACUGUCUCGGAGAGGGACUCGGUGAAAUAGACUUGUCUGUGAAGAUGCGGACUACCUGCACCAGGACAGAAAGACCCUAUGAAGCUUUACUGUAACUUGAAAUUGAAAUUGGACUUUAUUCGCGCAGUAUAGGUGGGAGGCGUUGAUUAUAAUCUUGUGGGAUUAUUGGAGCCAUUAGUGAGAUACCACUCUUGUAAUGUUAGAUUUCUAACUUUGAAUCAUGAUCUGGUCAAAGAACAGUUUCAGGCGGGCAGUUUGACUGGGGCGGUCGCCUCCUAAAUGGUAACGGAGGCGUACAAAGGUUUCCUCUGAACGGGUAGAAAUCGUAUCUAGAGUGUAAAGGCAUAAGGAAGCUUGACUGUGAGACCUACAAGUCGAGCAGGGACGAAAGUCGGUCUAUUGAUCUGACGGUACUGAGUGGAAAGGCCGUCACUCAACGGAUAAAAGUUACUCUAGGAUAACAGGCUGAUCUCCCCCAAGAGUUCACAUCGACGGGGAGGUUUGGCACCUCGAUGUCGGCUCAUCGCAUCCUGGGGCGGUAGUACGUCCCAAGGGUUGGGCUGUUCGCCCAUGAAAGCGGUACGCGAGCUGGGUUCAGAACGUCGUGAGACAGUUCGGUCCAUAUCCGGUGUAGGCGUUAGAAUAUUGAGAGGAGCCUUCUUUAGUACGAGAGGACCGAGAAGGACAUACCUCUGGUGUACCAGUUAUCGUGCCAACGGUAAACGCUGGGUAGCUAUGUAUGGAGUGGAUAACCGCUGAAAGCAUCUAAGUGGGAAGCCCACCUCAAGAUAAGUAUUCUC